RNAcentral lists this transfer RNA (66 nucleotides) under Rondotia menciana. RNAcentral's name for it is "tRNA-Gly". Lineage: Eukaryota; Metazoa; Arthropoda; Insecta; Lepidoptera; Bombycidae. The record is from RNAcentral.
AUUUAUAUAAUAUAAAUAGUAUAUUUGACUUCCAAUCAAAAAGUUUAAAUAACUUUAAUAUAAAUA